Molecule: small RNA, 222 nt
Filed under: Arabidopsis thaliana (thale cress)
Lineage: Eukaryota; Viridiplantae; Streptophyta; Magnoliopsida; Brassicales; Brassicaceae
Description: ATSL270460
Source: RNAcentral
CCUAAGGAUUGUAUCCUUGUUAGAAGAUACAAAGACAAACACUCAUACGGACUUCGGCUACACCAUCAAAGCUUUGGGAAGCAAGAAGAAGCUUUGUUAGUGUUUUGGAGUCGAAUAUGACUUGAUGUGAUGUGUAUGAUUGAGUAUAAUAACUUAAACAGCAACCGGAUCUUAAAAGGCUAAGUAGUGUAUCCUUGUUAGAAGAUACAAAGCCAAAGCCUC